AUGAGAAAAACAAGAAAAUAGGCAAAAUAGAAAUACUCGCAAUUUGUCUUUUGUCUCUUGCUGCAUUUCUUCUUGUCGUUUACUUUUUAU
RNAcentral lists this non-coding RNA (90 nucleotides) under Corethron pennatum. Lineage: Eukaryota; Bacillariophyta; Corethrophyceae; Corethrales; Corethraceae. The record is from RNAcentral.